Small nucleolar RNA from Zingiber officinale, 106 nucleotides. The record is from RefSeq and is a predicted model, not a curated record. Lineage: Eukaryota; Viridiplantae; Streptophyta; Magnoliopsida; Zingiberales; Zingiberaceae.
AAUCCAUAAUGUGGGCAUUAUUGCAAUAGCCCCUCAAAUCUAUCCCAUGCCUCGAACAAAGACUCUUCUUCCUUCUGCAUAAAGCUCGUGAUUUCUCAGAUGUGCU